RNAcentral lists this ribosomal RNA (454 nucleotides) under uncultured bacterium. RNAcentral describes it as "partial 16S ribosomal RNA". It matches the Rfam family "Bacterial small subunit ribosomal RNA", at positions 28 to 507 of the family's 1533-position model. The record is from RNAcentral.
GAUGAACGCUGACAGAAUGCUUAACACAUGCAAGUCAACUUGAACUUCGGUUUGGGUGGCGGACGGGUGAGUAACGCGUAAAGAACUUGCCUCACAGAUAGGGACAACAUUUGGAAACGAAUGCUAAUACCUGAUAUUAUGAUUAUAUGGCAUCGUAUAAUUAUGAAAGCUAUAUGCGCUGUGAGAGAGCUUUGCGUCCCAUUAGCUAGUUGGAGAGGUAACGGCUCACAAAGGCGAGGAUGGGUAGCCGGCCUGAGUGGGUGAUCGGCCACAAGGGGACUGGGACACGGCCAUUACCCCAACGGGAGGCAGAAGUGGGGAAUAUUGGACAAGGGACCAAGAGUGUGAUACAGAAAUUCUGUGUGCACGAUGAAGUUUUUCGGAAUGUAAAGUGCUUGCAGUUGGGAAGAAAAAAAUGACGGUACCAACAGAAGAAGUGACGGCUAAAUACGUG